GGGAAAGUGGCUCAGUGGCAGAGCGCUUGCCUUGCAUGCAUAAGGCCCUGGGUUCGAUUCCUCAGCACCA
This 70-nucleotide transfer RNA is filed under the name Dipodomys ordii (Ord's kangaroo rat). It matches the Rfam family "tRNA". Rfam says of the family: Transfer RNA (tRNA) molecules are approximately 80 nucleotides in length. Their secondary structure includes four short double-helical elements and three loops (D, anti-codon, and T loops). The record is from Rfam by way of RNAcentral. Lineage: Eukaryota; Metazoa; Chordata; Mammalia; Rodentia; Heteromyidae.